This 73-nucleotide transfer RNA is filed under the name marine sediment metagenome. RNAcentral describes it as "tRNA-Gln". It matches the Rfam family "tRNA". Rfam says of the family: Transfer RNA (tRNA) molecules are approximately 80 nucleotides in length. Their secondary structure includes four short double-helical elements and three loops (D, anti-codon, and T loops). The record is from RNAcentral.
AGCCCUAUAGCUUAGCGGCCAAAAGUAUCGGACCUUGACUCCGGUGACCCAGGUUCGAAUCCUGGUAGGGCUA